GACGAACGCUGGCGGCGUGCUUAACACAUGCAAGUCGAACGAAAAGGCCCUGCUUUUGUUGGGUGCUCGAGUGGCGCACGGGUGAGUAACACGUGUGUAACCUGCCCUUGACUUUGGGAUAACUUCAGGAAACUCGGGCUCAUACCGGAUAGGAUCUCCUGCUGCAUGGUGGGGGUUGGAAAGUUUCGGCGGUUGUGGAUGGACUCGCUGCUUAUCAGCUUGUUGGUGUGGUAGUUGCUUACCAAGGCUAUGACGGGUAGGCUGCCUGGGAGGGUUACCGGGCACAUUGGGACUGAGAGACGGCGCAGAAGCCAACGGGAGGCAGCAGUGGGGAAUAUUGCACAAUGGGCGGAAGUGAGAUGCAGAAACGCCGCGUGCGGGAUAACGGCCUACGGGUUGUAAACCGCUUUCGCCUGUGACGAAGCGUGAGUGACGGUAAUGGGUAAAGAAGCACCGGCUAACUACGUG
RNAcentral lists this ribosomal RNA (468 nucleotides) under uncultured bacterium. RNAcentral's name for it is "partial 16S ribosomal RNA". It matches the Rfam family "Bacterial small subunit ribosomal RNA", at positions 28 to 507 of the family's 1533-position model. The record is from RNAcentral.